GAGUGUGGGUUAAGUCCCGCAACGAGCGCAACCCUUAUCGUUAGUUGCCAGCGGGUAAUGCCGGGAACUCUAGCGAAACUGCCGGUGUAAACCGUGAGGAAGGUGGGAUGACGUCAAAUCAGCACGGCCCUUAUGUCCAGGGCUACACACGUGUUACAAUGGCCGGUACAGAGGGCAGCUACCUGGAGACAGGAUGCGAAUCUCGAAAGCCGGUCUCAGUUCGGAUCGGAGUCUGCAACUCGACUCCGUGAAGCUGGAUUCGCUAGUAAUCGCGCAUCAGCCAUGGCGCGGUGAAUACGUUCCCGGGCCUU
RNAcentral lists this ribosomal RNA (311 nucleotides) under uncultured Sphingobacteriales bacterium. Its description in RNAcentral is "bacterial SSU rRNA". It matches the Rfam family "Bacterial small subunit ribosomal RNA", at positions 1071 to 1382 of the family's 1533-position model. The record is from RNAcentral. Lineage: Bacteria; Pseudomonadati; Bacteroidota; Sphingobacteriia; Sphingobacteriales.